UUAGAAAUCUUAGCGCCAUGACCCCUGGGCUUUGGCUUUCAGGGAUAACGAGGUUGAAGGUUAUCGAAUAUUCGGCGGAUGCCUUCACGCAGAGUCUGGAUGCGCACAUGAUAUCCAAAUAUGGGGGUAACUCCAAAACAAAGAAUCAUGACCGGACACC
This 160-nucleotide non-coding RNA is filed under the name Coprococcus eutactus. Its description in RNAcentral is "glmS glucosamine-6-phosphate activated ribozyme aptamer". It matches the Rfam family "glmS glucosamine-6-phosphate activated ribozyme aptamer". Rfam says of the family: This entry contains a glucosamine-6-phosphate activated ribozyme that is found in the mRNA for GlmS. GlmS is an enzyme that uses fructose-6-phosphate and glutamine to generate glucosamine-6-phosphate. RNAcentral also lists the same sequence under 1 other name. Lineage: Bacteria; Bacillati; Bacillota; Clostridia; Lachnospirales; Lachnospiraceae. The record is from Rfam by way of RNAcentral.